AGUAGAAAUUUAGAGCUGAAAUGGAAAUUAGGUGUUAUCUAUUCAGCUUCUUUUCUUCUUCAGCAGAGGGAACAGAGGUCUACAGAGGUGAUGUAUUGGCCAUGUUCCUACAUCUCAUCGAUUACAGAGAUACUGCGCUCACAAUGCAUCCUAACAGGAUGGCAGUGAUGGAGUAUAACACUGAUGUGUGGAAGGAUUGAUGUCAGCCCUUGAUCUUAUUUUGCCAAGGUAAGAGUGUUUCUUGCUUGGUGUUUUCAAAGCCACUGGUCUUAGAUCAAUGCUAUUGAAGCUGUUAGCUCACUGUCAUUUGAAAAUUCUUUCCUUUUUUGUUAGGGCCUGAAAUAACUCAAUGACUAAGGAAUUCCUU
This 367-nucleotide long non-coding RNA is filed under the name Cavia porcellus (domestic guinea pig). RNAcentral describes it as "lncRNA (ENSCPOG00000038863.1)". The record is from RNAcentral. Lineage: Eukaryota; Metazoa; Chordata; Mammalia; Rodentia; Caviidae.